This 70-nucleotide transfer RNA is filed under the name Maccullochella ikei (eastern freshwater cod). Its description in RNAcentral is "tRNA-Met". It matches the Rfam family "tRNA". From Rfam's summary of the family: Transfer RNA (tRNA) molecules are approximately 80 nucleotides in length. The record is from RNAcentral. Lineage: Eukaryota; Metazoa; Chordata; Actinopteri; Centrarchiformes; Percichthyidae.
AGUAAAAUAAGCUAAUAAAAGCUCUCGGGCCCAUACCCCGAACAUAAUGGUUAAAAUCCAUUUUUUACUA